GAACCUUUACUAUAGCUUGACACUGAACAUUGAGCCUUGAUGUGUAGGAUAGGUGGGAGGCUUUGAAGUGUGGACGCCAGUCUGCAUGGAGCCGGCCUUGAAAUACCACCCUUUAAUGUUUGAUGUUCUAACGUGGACCCGUGAUCCGGGUUGCGGACAGUGUCUGGUGGGUAGUUUGACUGGGGCGGUCUCCUCCUAAAGAGUAACGGAGGAGCACGAAGGUUGGCUAAUCCUGGUCGGACAUCAGGAGGUUAGUGCAAUGGCAUAAGCCAGCUUGACUGCGAGCGUGACGGCGCGAGCAGGUGCGAAAGCAGGUCAUAGUGAUCCGGUGGUUCUGAAUGGAAGGGCCAUCGCUCAACGGAUAAAAGGUACUCCGGGGAUAACAGGCUGAUACCGCCCAAGAGUUCAUAUCGACGGCGGUGUUUGGCACCUCGAUGUCGGCUCAUCACAUCCUGGGGCUGAAGUAGGUCCCAAGGGUAUGGCUGUUCGCCAUUUAAAGUGGUACGCGAGCUGGGUUUAGAACGUCGUGAGACAGUUCGGUCCCUAUCUGCCGUGGGCGCUGGAGAACUGAGGGGGGCUGCUCCUAGUACGAGAGGACCGGAGUGGACGCAUCACUGGUGUUCGGGUUGUCAUGCCAAUGGCACUGCCCGGUAGCUAAAUGCGGAAGAGAUAAGUGCUGAAAGCAUCUAAGCACGAAACUUGCCCCGA
RNAcentral lists this ribosomal RNA (708 nucleotides) under Salmonella enterica. RNAcentral describes it as "partial 23S ribosomal RNA". It matches the Rfam family "Bacterial large subunit ribosomal RNA", at positions 2095 to 2802 of the family's 2925-position model. Lineage: Bacteria; Pseudomonadati; Pseudomonadota; Gammaproteobacteria; Enterobacterales; Enterobacteriaceae. The record is from RNAcentral.